Molecule: transfer RNA, 75 nt
Filed under: Bdellovibrionales bacterium
Lineage: Bacteria; Pseudomonadati; Bdellovibrionota; Bdellovibrionia; Bdellovibrionales
Description: tRNA-Val
Rfam family: tRNA
About the family: Transfer RNA (tRNA) molecules are approximately 80 nucleotides in length. Their secondary structure includes four short double-helical elements and three loops (D, anti-codon, and T loops).
Source: RNAcentral
UGGCGCAUAGCUCAGUGGCAGAGCACCGUCUUCACACGGCGGGGGUCGUAGGUUCAAUCCCUACUGCGCCAACCA